GUGACCUCAAAUCAGGUAGGACUACCCGCUGAACUUAAGCAUAUCAAUAAGCGGAGGAAAAGAAACUAACAAGGAUUCCCCUAGUAACUGCGAGUGAAGCGGGAAAAGCUCAAAUUUAAAAUCUGGCGGUCUUUUGGCUGUCCGAGUUGUAAUCUAGAGAAGUGUUAUCCGCGCUGGACCGUGUACAAGUCUCCUGGAAUGGAGCAUCAUAGAGGGUGAGAAUCCCGUCUUUGACAUGGACUGCCAGGGCUUUUGUGAUGCG
RNAcentral lists this ribosomal RNA (262 nucleotides) under uncultured Cortinarius. RNAcentral's name for it is "partial 28S ribosomal RNA". It matches the Rfam family "Eukaryotic large subunit ribosomal RNA", at positions 1 to 253 of the family's 3401-position model. The record is from RNAcentral. Lineage: Eukaryota; Fungi; Basidiomycota; Agaricomycetes; Agaricales; Cortinariaceae.